Molecule: ribosomal RNA, 370 nt
Filed under: uncultured organism
Description: bacterial SSU rRNA
Rfam family: Bacterial small subunit ribosomal RNA
Source: RNAcentral
UGGGGUGCAAACGUUGCUCGGAAUUAUUGGGCGUAAAGCGCGCGUAGGCGGUUACUCAAGUCGGAUGUGAAAGCCCUCGGCUUAACUGAGGAAGUGCACCCGAAACUGAGUAGCUAGAGUACUAAAGAGGGUCGCGGAAUUCCCGGUGUAGAGGUGAAAUUCGUAGAUAUCGGGAGGAACACCGGUGGCGAAGGCGGCGACCUGGGUAGAUACUGACGCUGAGGCGCGAAAGCGUGGGGAGCAAACAGGAUUAGAUACCCUGGUAGUCCACGCCGUAAACGAUGGGUGCUAGAUGUUUCUGGUAUUGACCCCGGAGGCGUCGUAGCUAACGCGUUAAGCACCCCGCCUGGGGAGUACGGCCGCAAGGCUA